This 445-nucleotide ribosomal RNA is filed under the name uncultured bacterium. RNAcentral's name for it is "partial 16S ribosomal RNA". It matches the Rfam family "Bacterial small subunit ribosomal RNA", at positions 354 to 796 of the family's 1533-position model. The record is from RNAcentral.
GUGAGGAAUAUUGCGCAAUGGAGGCAACUCUGACGCAGCCAUGCCGCGUGCAGGAAGAAGGCGCUACGCGUUGUAAACUGCUUUUAACCGGGAAGAAACCCCAGGACGUGUCCUGGGUUGACGGUACCGGAGGAAUAAGCACCGGCUAACUUCGUGCCAGCAGCCGCGGUAAUACGAAGGGUGCAAGCGUUAUCCGGAUUCAUUGGGUUUAAAGGGUGCGUAGGCGGAGCGUUAAGUCAGUGGUGAAAUCCUGCAGCUUAACUGUAGACGUGCAAUUGAUACUGGCGCUAUUGAGUGCACUUGAAGUGGGCGGAAUGUGCCGUGUAGCGGUGAAAUGCUUAGAUAUGGCACAGAACACCAAUUGCGAAGGCAGCUCACUAAGGCGAUACUGACGCUGAGGCACGAAAGCGUGGGGAUCGAACAGGAUUAGAUACCCUUGUAGUCC